GGAGGGGCCAUAGCUCAGUGGUUAGAGCUUCAUGCUUUGCAUGAAGGAGAUCCCUGGUUCAAUCCUGGCAUCUCCA
Podarcis lilfordi (Lilford's wall lizard) is the source of this 76-nucleotide non-coding RNA. NCBI's taxonomy places the organism in Eukaryota, Metazoa, Chordata, Lepidosauria, Squamata, Lacertidae. The record is from the annotation of a GenBank genome assembly.